This 297-nucleotide ribosomal RNA is filed under the name uncultured bacterium. RNAcentral's name for it is "partial 16S ribosomal RNA". It matches the Rfam family "Bacterial small subunit ribosomal RNA", at positions 789 to 1084 of the family's 1533-position model. The record is from RNAcentral.
GGUAGUCCACGCCGUAAACGAUGGAUGCUAGCUGUUGGAGGUAUCGACCCCUUCAGUAGCGAAGCUAACGCGUUAAGUAUCCCGCCUGUGGAGUACGGUCGCAAGACUAAAACAUAAAGGAAUUGACGGGGAUCAGCACAAGCGGUGGAUUAUGUUCUUUAAUUCGAUGAUAACCGAUGAACCUUACCAGGGUUUGACAUCCUUGGAAUUACUCCGAAAAGAGUGAGUGCUUUAUUGAACCAAGUGACAGGUGUUGCAUGGCCGUCGUCAGCUCGUGUCGUGAGAUGUUUGGUUAAG